RNAcentral lists this ribosomal RNA (253 nucleotides) under uncultured bacterium. RNAcentral's name for it is "partial 16S ribosomal RNA". It matches the Rfam family "Bacterial small subunit ribosomal RNA", at positions 524 to 776 of the family's 1533-position model. The record is from RNAcentral.
UACGUAGGGUGCGAGCGUUAGUCGGAAUUACUGGGCGUAAAGCGUGCGCAGGCGGGCUUUUAAGCCAGACGUGAAAUCCCCGGGCUUAACCUGGGAAUGGCGUUUGGGACUGGAAGUCUGGAGUGCGGCAGAGGAGACUGGAAUUCCUGGUGUAGCAGUGAAAUGCGUAGAUAUCAGGAGGAACACCGAUGGCGAAGGCAGGUCUCUGGGCUGACACUGACGCUCAUGCACGAAAGCGUGGGGAGCAAACAGG